Molecule: long non-coding RNA, 3459 nt
Filed under: Prunus dulcis (almond)
Lineage: Eukaryota; Viridiplantae; Streptophyta; Magnoliopsida; Rosales; Rosaceae
Description: sRNA ncRNA
Source: RNAcentral
CAAUAUUUACCAAAACAAAAGCACACACGCGGGACAAUUAGGGCUUGCAGAGUGAGAGACAGAGACAGAUUGGGAGAGAGGGGAAUCGCAAUUGGUCUAUCAGGUUGGGGGCUUUCAGAAGCUUAAGGCCUGCAAUUGGCGUUGUGGUUGAAACGACUCUUUCCUGGGGUAAGUAUAUUUGUGUGUCUGUCUGUCUGUGAGCUAAAAGUACAGACAUUUGGAAUUUGAUCAAAUUCCUUGUCUCGGCCAAACGUGAUAUUCAAAAUCUAUGGAGUUGAACAGAUGGUUACCGUUCUUAUCUUGUUACUAUAGUUUCCCCUUCCAUAAUUCGUGAUGAUAUAAUCUAGGGUUCUACACAUCUGCUAGUUUCAAGGAUAACUGGGAUUUAUAUUCAGCCAUUGAUAGAAUACUUGAAUUUAAAACGUUAAGAUUUUUUUUCUUUUUGUUUGUUGAUUAGGUGCUUCCAAUUCCAAUGGAACAAAAAACCAGAAGGAAAAGAAAUGUUAAGUCCAGUUAUAGCUUACAAUGGUUGUGCUUUCAUUGCAGCUCGAUUUAGAAAGAAGUAAAAAUGUUCAAGAACACAUUUCAAUCCGGAUUUCUGUCAAUUCUAUACAGCCUUGGGUAUGCCGUCUUUGUCUCUUUUGUUUGAGUAUCUUUUGUUAUCCUUGCACUUGUAACUUUGAUGUUAAGCUGUGCAUUCUUUUAAAUAUGUAGGAGCAAACCGUUGCAGAUUUGGGAUAAAGAAGGUGAGUGGUUUUGGAUUUGGAAAUGUAAAACCUGUUGAUGAAAUUUUGAGAUGCUUGUUAAACUCAACUUGUUUCAAAUAUCAAUGUAAGAUGCAAUUCUGACAAUUCAGUGUUGUUUAUGCCUUUUACAUAUUUACUCCCAAAUGUCGUCUGAAUUAAAGAAGUGCCUGUAGCUUCUACAAAUCUAAAUAGUUUGAAGUGGUAGCACAAGGACGAAAUUGGUUGUAUGCUUUUUUAUAGUUUAAUACAUGAAGGUGCCCAGUCAUGGUUUAGUACUGUCUUACUCUUUGCAAUCCAUCCCUCUUUGUUUCAUCCUUGUCGUACAACUUCCGUGUUAACCCACCUGUCUUUUGUUAAGAUUGGUGACUGAUGAGCAUCUAAUCUGCUGAUAGGCGCAUUAGCUAAAAGACUAAUCUCUAAUGGAUGGAUCCCUUCGCACUGCGAUAUACCAUUAAAUUUUAGGGUCUCUUUAGGUCUGUUCAUGACAUAGUAAAUAAUGAGGCACGCGCAUGUUGGAAAGUUUGUAGAUUUGAUGUUUAUAUUGGAUGGGGCAUUGCUUGAUGCUAGAGUGGAAAUAACUAUUUUUCUACUUCAGACUGUAGUAUAAGGCGGAUGCCUUUAAGAUGUUGACAUGAUGAUGGAAUGACUUAGUGACUGGUUGAAUUUUCUAUGUUUUUCUUUUGUUGAGCAGUUGUCGACGGCCAUAUUAAAAGACCACAGGAUGAAGACAUACAAUCCAAUGUCCUUGAAAUAAUUGGUACGAACAUCCAGUCCACAUACAUUACUUGCCCAGCAGACCCAUCAGCUACACUUGGUAUAAAACUUCCAUUCCUGGUUAUGAUUGUAAAGAAUCUGAAGAAGUAUUUCACAUUUGAGAUUCAAGUUCUGGAUGACAAGAACGUCAGGAGACGUUUUCGAGCUUCCAAUUUUCAAGUGUGUUAGUUUGCCCAUGUUUAUUGAUGUUUAUCAUGCGUAAUGGUUGUUUUUCUUGUUCUGUUUUCUUUUCCUUUCCGUUGGUAUUUCAGGGCAUGUUCAGGUAAGUAAUGAAGGCUGCUGCAUAUGUUUUUCUCAAAGAUGUAUCUAUUUCACUAGCAAGUCUAAGCUUUUUUUGUUGUCUUUGAAGAUCUAUGUGGUGUAAAAUUGGUCAUAUUUCAUGCCGAAUUUUUUGUAAGUUUUUCGGGCUGCAUUAUGAACACAUUAACUAUGCCUGAUGACUUGCAUUUGUUGGACAUGUAUAUGAUUGAGGGAAAAAUCAUGUACCAAGGUUAAGUCCAAGGUUGUAGAGGAAUCUGGCUUCUAGAUAUGCCAUUGGCAGCUUCAGGAAUCAGGGGAAAAAGAAUUCAUUGAUGUUGACCGGAUAUUGCCUACUAUUUUGAGUCGAGCAGUGCAGGAUGCAAAACUCAUUGACCACUCCAGUAGAUUGUUGCUUAAUGAUUCAUAGUUUAGAAUGUUGUUAUUCUGUUUUCUGAGUUUUAUCAGUGAACAUGGUGUCUUCUGCAAAUUCCAGAUAAAUUGGACUCAUAGGAGUUUUGAGAAAUCAGCUAACCUUUACUGAACUUUAAUUGCUAUAAUCUUUUAUGUGCAAUAUUGUUUAGAUGCCAUGUACCUGACCCUGACGACUUUAUGUUUGAAGUGUUGAUGUUUUGACUGCUAGAGAAUACUGGUAUUUGAAGUGAUCGUACUGCUGUAGAAGUAUCAAAGUGAUAAAAGAUACAAGGAUUUAUUUAUUUAUUUAUGUGUUGUAGGCUGUAACUCGAGUGAAGCCAUACAUCUGCACCAUGCCACUGAGGAUGGAUGAGGGCUGGAAUCAAAUCCAGUUUAAUCUAGCCGAUUUUACCAGGAGAGCCUAUGGAACAAACUAUGUGGAGACAUUGCGAGUUCAGGUUCAUGCGAAUUGCCGCCUGAGGAGGAUAUAUUUCUCUGACCGCUUGUACUCCGAAGAGGAACUUCCGCCUGAGUUUAAGUUGUACCUUCCAAUGCAGGUAAAGAUCGAUCCAAUCUCUUAAUGAAAACAAUUAUGUUUCUGUACCUUCUCGUUUCAUGUCCACUCUCUCACAUGCUAAUAAUGUAUUUGCUGCACAGAAAGCAUGACAUGAUGCAACAAAGGAGGGAUCAAACCCAUUGGAGCUGGAUUUUGAGUGUUCAGAUGGCAAUCUUUGCUAGUGCCAGUUUUAUAAAAAUUAGAAAGGAAAAAAAAAACUCAGUUGUACUAGAGCAUGUUUUUAUGUCUGUCAUACAUAGUAAAAAUAUGUACGAACUCUAUUUGUGGAGACUGGAGAGUAAUGUGUCGGGAUCAGAAUGCAUCUAAGCAUGAAGUAGAACUAAAUGCAAUAUUUUUUGGAUUAAUCCUUCCAGUAUAUCUUUCCCUUGACCCCUCUUCCUGUAUAUCUUCCCUUCACCCCCCACCCCCCACCCCCCAUCUGGAAUUAUGGUGAUUGUUGAUUGCUUGGCAGAAACUGGACUUCUGCUGCGGUUAAAUGAUGCAUUUCCCCGACAAUGGAGUUUAGUUUCUAUGAUCUUUCAAAUGUUGUCCGAAAGAUGAGAAAUUCAAAACUCUGUUUGGUUGUCAAUUUUGACACAAAUCCAUGUACUGUGAGUGUUAAGAUUUAAGGACGGAUUCUUGACCCACUGCUAGCAAUAUUAAUAUUGCCCCUCAACUUAACCAUAUGUUUAGCAAUAUUGAUAUUAUCCACAACUUAAUCACUUGUUUAGC